UGAUAUAUUCAUCAAACUUUUUUAUAGCAUGGUGUUGAUAAAUUUAUGGCAAGAUUGAAGAAUGGUGAUAAAAUUAUCAGACAUUUUGAUUUUAACAUCGUGAUGUUUAUAUAUCUAUUAAGUGCAUUUAUAUUUUCAUUCUUGAUUGUUUAGCAUGAAUAGUUUGGAACUUACAGAGGGGAAAUUCUAGUCAGGUCAUCCUAUUUGUUUGUUUUAGUCACUUGGGUGGGAAUAGACUAUUUAUCCAUUGCAUGAGACUGUGAGCUAUAUUGAUUUCACCAUAUUGGUGUUUAGUGAAAAUCCUAGUUUCCUUCUUCACAAGCUAAACAUAGUAAUUUAAAACACUAUGAUUCUAUUGAUUUCAUAUCAUAUUAUACUAUCAUGAGCUGAUGUGAUGUUACAAUGAACAAUAUUCUCCGGAGAAAAUGAGUGUUUACUUGGACUCCUUUUACAGGUGAUGAAUGAAGGACCUGGACAUAUCCCAAUGCACAAGAUUCCUGAAAACAUGCAAAAACAACUAGAAUGGUGCAAUGAAGCACCAUUCUACACUCUUGGCCCUUUAACAACUGAUAUUGCUCCUGGUUAUGAUCACAUCACCUCUGCAAUUGGCGCUGCCAAUAUUGGGGCACUGGGUACUGCUCUUCUCUGUUAUGUGACUCCGAAAGAACACCUUGGACUGCCGAACCGGGAUGAUGUGAAGGCUGGAGUUAUAGCAUACAAGAUAGCUGCUCAUGCUGCUGAUUUAGCCAAGUGUCACCCACUUGCUCAAG
Molecule: long non-coding RNA, 770 nt
Filed under: Lupinus angustifolius (narrow-leaved blue lupine)
Lineage: Eukaryota; Viridiplantae; Streptophyta; Magnoliopsida; Fabales; Fabaceae
Description: long non-coding RNA (LANG_LNC001594)
Source: RNAcentral